GUAGGGAAUAUUGCACAAUGGAGGAAACUCUGAUGCAGCGACGCCGCGUGAGUGAUGAAGGCCUUCGGGUCGUAAAACUCUGUGAUAAGGGAAGAUAAUGACGGUACCUUAUCAGAAAAGACCGGCUAACUUCGUGCCAGCAGCCGCGGUAAUACGAGGGGUCUAAGCGUUGUUCGGAAUCACUGGGCGUAAAGCGGGUGUAGGUGGCUAUGCAAGUUGGAUGUGAAAUCCCCGGGCUCAACCCGGGAAGUGCAUCCAAAACUACGUAGCUUGAGUGCGGGAGAGAAAGGCAGAAUUCCUGGUGUAGUGGUGAAAUACGUAGAUAUCAGGAGGAACUCCGGUGGCGAAGGCGGCCUUUUGGCCCAGCACUGACACUCAGACCCGAAAGCGUGGGUAGCAAACAGGAUUAGAUACCCUGGUAGUCC
RNAcentral lists this ribosomal RNA (425 nucleotides) under uncultured bacterium. RNAcentral describes it as "partial 16S ribosomal RNA". It matches the Rfam family "Bacterial small subunit ribosomal RNA", at positions 354 to 796 of the family's 1533-position model. The record is from RNAcentral.